RNA transcript from Mustela erminea (ermine), 1398 nucleotides. It is a transcript of the gene named proline-rich receptor-like protein kinase PERK9, with no coding region annotated. The record is from RefSeq and is a predicted model, not a curated record. Lineage: Eukaryota; Metazoa; Chordata; Mammalia; Carnivora; Mustelidae. The transcript has 4 exons.
UGUCAACUCCCCAAAACCAUAAAACUAACUUUAUGGACCUCACGUGACUUUCUCGAGCCAGUGAGGGGUAUCUGUCUGACUUCUCGGCGAUUUUUACGAUCUAACUUCGAGAUAAAACCCCUAUCCAUUUGACAUCUAAAUGUCAUAGCGACUUUUGGGAUAGUUUGCUAUGGACAAAGGGGGACAAAGUCAAGGGGUGAGGGGGAAGGAGGGCCCAGUAGAGCCUCUACGACCCUUGGCUGCCUCCUCACCAGCUCCCCCUCCCCCCAAGUCCUGUAAGAAGUUGGGCCAAGCUGGAAGGGAUUGACCGGGUUGCCUGUCGUGAGAUGGAGCCGCAAAGGCAGGGCCUGGGCGCCUGGAGUCCAGCAUGAAAGGAAAUAGCGCCUCAUCGCUCUUAUCUAAGCCCAGAGCCGCGCCUCCUCGCCCUCUCGGGCCUCUGCGGAGACUCCAGGCCCUCCAGAGACCAGGACGUCCCUCAGCGCCACCGCCCCUUGUGCCAGUGCCGCCGGGAAACCGCCGAUACCCACGCUGGGCAAGAGAAUUGCGCGGGGGGCAACUGGGGGAGGCCGGAACAAGGGAGGGAGAGUGGGAGGGGGAGGGGGUGCACACCCACAGAGGUGGUAGUAACCGGCUUCUGGGGCGCCCUGUAGCCCAGACACCCCAUCCUCUCUUUCGAACCCCCCUCACUUGAGCCUCCUCUCCCAGCUUAAAAAGGCAUCUCAGAGCUCGCCUCCGUGGCCCCUUUCGGUUCCUCCUCCCAUCUUCCCUGCCUUGGCUCCCCCUCCAGGAAGCAGCCACCCCCUCUCUCUCGGCCACCGAAUUUCCUGGGAAGCCUCUCCCUGCAGCGCCCAGAGGUGGGGUUCAGCCCCAUCUUGGGGUGGGGGUGAGAGGGAGACAAACCUAAGCCCCACCCCCUACAGAAUCGGUGCAAAAGAAUAAGAAGAGAAUUGUAGAAUCUCUCUUACCUUUGUAGACCUUGGGAUUUCUUCCCUCCGAUUGAAAGAGGUGAGGAGGAAGGGGGGCGGAAAGCGUUCUGUUUCUUCUUCAUCUUCCAGAUAAUAUUGUCCCAACCUGAGAGCCGUCGCUUCCCCUUCUCUGACUUGGGAGAGAGGGUGUUUCGCUUUUCUGAUAUUUGCAUAGAAAAUGGAAAGAUUCCAGGUCGCCGGCAGCGCGGACCGCGGGCAGCAAGGCGCGGAGGAAGCCGGCGGAGCUUGGCGCCCGGGCGCGGCCGGGCGCCGAACGGCCGGGGAUGCGGCCACACUAGCCGGGUAACCUUGCCCCGCUCAGGAACCCGUUCUCAGGGAUCAUCUACUCCUCCCCCACAAUUCAAAAAUUUUAUUUGGAUCGCUGUGUUAAUUUAGAAUGAGAUAAAUGGAAGUAAAAUAAGUUGAAAUAAAA